Molecule: ribosomal RNA, 498 nt
Filed under: uncultured bacterium
Lineage: Bacteria
Description: partial 16S ribosomal RNA
Rfam family: Bacterial small subunit ribosomal RNA
Source: RNAcentral
AUUGAACGCUGGCGGCAUGCCUUACACAUGCAAGUCGUACGGUAACAGGUCUUCGGAUGCUGACGAGUGGCGAACGGGUGAGUAAUACAUCGGAACGUGCCUAGUAGUGGGGGAUAACUACUCGAAAGAGUGGCUAAUACCGCAUGAGAUCUACGGAUGGAAGCAGGGGAUCGCAAGACCUUGUGCUACUAGAGCGGCCGAUGGCAGAUUAGGUAGUUGGUGGGAUAAAAGCUUACCAAGCCGACGAUCUGUAGCUGGUCUGAGAGGACGAUCAGCCACACUGGGACUGAGACACGGCCCAGACUCCUACGGGAGGCAGCAGUGGGGAAUUUUGGACAGUGGGCGAAAGCCUGAUCCAGCAAUGCCGCGUGCAGGAUGAAGGCCUUCGGGUUGUAAACUGCUUUUGUACGGAACGAAAAGCCCCGGGUUAAUACCCUGGGGUCAUGACGGUACCGUAAGAAUAAGCACCGGCUAACUACGUGCCAGCAGCCGCCGUAA